Molecule: long non-coding RNA, 770 nt
Organism: Thunnus maccoyii (southern bluefin tuna)
Lineage: Eukaryota; Metazoa; Chordata; Actinopteri; Scombriformes; Scombridae
Exons: 4
Source: RefSeq, a predicted model, not a curated record
AGAGGGUGGCGGGGGUUUUUCAAUCGCCAGAAGAGCCCCUCGUGCUCCACCAGGGCUUAAGUGAUGACACAGAAUGAUUAUAGCACAGUUAAAUACCUGGCCUAAUGAGCCAUUUAGCCCUAUUGACAUCCGUGGCUGUCUCAGAGGUGGAGCGAGUACCACGUACAUGCUCCUUAAUCAGAACCGAUAACACCAUUUAGCCUUCAAACGCUAAUCCUGACUCCCGGGCUCUCUCUGGAAUCCACUGUGAUUUCUCUGUACUCACGCUGAGAAACUUCAUGCCUGAUUCAUUUUCAAUUCCACUCUUCCUGCACAGUUGUAACUUCGCUGUGGUUUUACAAGCAUUAUGACUGGGGAGUGAGAGAAAAGAAGAACGACUGAGGUGAAACUUUGCUGCCAAUCUGCUCGUCUUCACUUCUGAAUGACGAAAAUCAAGGCCUCAGACGGUCACUCGACACAGUCGCAGGAGCAGGAAGCGCAACACGUGAGCCUCGCUGCUCUCUGAUCUAACACGCUCGCUGUCUCGUCUCCAGCUGUGCAACGGGUUGUAGCAGCGGCACCAGCGAGCUCAGGCACAGAAACCUUUGUUUGGUUUACGAGCACCACCUACGAAGACUUGGAUGUCAUCGACAAAAAAAAAAGAAAAGAAAAAGACGUAAAAAGUGUUGGAGUCAAUGGCUUGAGUGACAAGUGAUUGCUGAAUCAAGAAACCAAAGAAAAAAAAAACAACAACAAAGUAAGCGCCUCACAGAUUAACACACGACUUGAAA